This 693-nucleotide ribosomal RNA is filed under the name uncultured Bacteroidales bacterium. Its description in RNAcentral is "bacterial SSU rRNA". It matches the Rfam family "Bacterial small subunit ribosomal RNA", at positions 46 to 725 of the family's 1533-position model. Lineage: Bacteria; Pseudomonadati; Bacteroidota; Bacteroidia; Bacteroidales. The record is from RNAcentral.
GCUUAACACAUGCAAGUCGAGGGGCAUCAUGGUAAGUAGCAAUACUUAGUCGAUGGCGACCGGCGCACGGGUGAGUAACGCGUAUGCAACUUACCUAUCAGAGGGGGAUAGCCCGGCGAAAGUCGGAUUAAUACUCCAUAAAAUAGGGGUUCCGCAUGGGACUAUUUGUUAAAGAUUCAUCGCUGAUAGAUAGGCAUGCGUUCCAUUAGACAGUUGGCGGGGUAACGGCCCACCAAACCGACGAUGGAUAGGGGUUCUGAGAGGAAGGUCCCCCACAUUGGUACUGAGACACGGACCAAACUCCUACGGGAGGCAGCAGUGAGGAAUAUUGGUCAAUGGCCGAGAGGCUGAACCAGCCAAGUCGCGUGAAGGAUGAAGGAUCUAUGGUUUGUAAACUUCUUUUAUAGGGGAAUAAAGUGUGGGACGUGUCCCAUUUUGUAUGUACCCUAUGAAUAAGCAUCGGCUAACUCCGUGCCAGCAGCCGCGGUAAUACGGAGGGUGCGAGCGUUAUCCGGAUUUAUUGGGUUUAAAGGGUGCGUAGGUGGUAAUUUAAGUCAGCGGUGAAAGUUUGUGGCUCAACCAUAAAAUUGCCGUUGAAACUGGGUUACUUGAGUGUGUUUGAGGUAGGCGGAAUGUCGUGGUGUAGCGGUGAAAUGCAUAGAUAUCACGCAGAACUCCAAUUGCGAAGGCAGC